GGGGCCCAAAUGGAGCUCCCUCCACUUCAACUCUGAAAGGAGGUGAUGGUAGACCACGACUGCUAGUUCAUGAAUGCCCCUGGAUGCGCACGAUAAUGUUGAGUGUACGCAUACUAAGGGUUUGCAUGAGAUAGGAGACGAGACUACCUUGAACUUUUUGGUAUUGGAGUGAAGGGAGCUCCUAAUGGUCUUCCU
This 195-nucleotide microRNA precursor is filed under the name Malus domestica (apple). RNAcentral's name for it is "sRNA MD01G0056400". It matches the Rfam family "MIR159 microRNA precursor family". The record is from RNAcentral. Lineage: Eukaryota; Viridiplantae; Streptophyta; Magnoliopsida; Rosales; Rosaceae.